UCUCCCGUGGACUAACGGUAGGUCAUCACCCUUUCAAGGUGAAGUGCGCGAGUUCGAAUCUCGUCGGGAGAA
This 72-nucleotide transfer RNA is filed under the name Vibrio phage phi-Grn1. RNAcentral's name for it is "tRNA-Glu". It matches the Rfam family "tRNA". From Rfam's summary of the family: Transfer RNA (tRNA) molecules are approximately 80 nucleotides in length. Their secondary structure includes four short double-helical elements and three loops (D, anti-codon, and T loops). Lineage: Duplodnaviria; Heunggongvirae; Uroviricota; Caudoviricetes; Pantevenvirales; Straboviridae. RNAcentral also lists the same sequence under 1 other name. The record is from RNAcentral.